This is an RNA transcript of Glycine soja, 2464 nucleotides long. It is a transcript of the gene named cell division control protein 48 homolog C-like, with no coding region annotated. Lineage: Eukaryota; Viridiplantae; Streptophyta; Magnoliopsida; Fabales; Fabaceae. The record is from RefSeq and is a predicted model, not a curated record. The transcript is spliced from 6 exons.
AAGGAUUUUGGUUAGGGUUUACGAGGAGAAGAAGAUAACAGAACCAAAGGGUUUGGGAAGAUGGGAAGAAGUAACGGUCGUAGGUCCCUUCAAGAAACACUCCGGCUCCAACUUGAGUCCUGCAAAUCCAAAUACUCCACCGCCGAAGAAUAUGCCAACUAUCUCCGUUCUACUUACCCCCAUUACCACCGAACCAAGCACUAAACCCUAAUUCGUUUUGUUCAGGAAGCUCUUAAUUCCACCGCAAAGCUUAAUCACGCUCGCACACCCAAGCACUGCAAAAACGACGAUGACGACGACGAAGGAAAGGCUCAAAGCGCGUCUCGAAAGCGGCGGAAGAAAAUCGAUAGGAGUGAGGAGACAUUGCAGAGGAUGGAAGCGUUGCACGUCCGAAGGAAGGUGCAGGGAUCUUCCUCAUCGUCCUCUGCUUCGGAGUGCGACGAUGAAGAUGAAGAGGGAACCGUGUCGACUUCGGAGGACACAAUUUACGGGGAGAAGGUGGAGCCCGAGUUUGAUUUGAUGAAGACAACGCUGCGAAAGUCGUAUACGCCGAAGAAGGUUGCCACGGAGGAAAAGAACGUUGAAUUGGAGGUGGGGAAUAGCAGUAAGGACACUCUUGUGAAUGAGGAAAUGGGGAAUAGCAGUAAAGGAACUAGUACUCUUGUGAACGAAGAAUGGAAAGAAGUGAAGGGUUCGUGUUGGGGUUCGGUUUCGAAUGGGAAGGAUGGACCGAGGUUUAAGGAUUUGGGUGGGAUGAAGGAGGUUUUGGAGGAACCGAAGAAUGAAGUGAUUGUGCCUUUGUUCCAUCCCCAAUUGCCUAGGCAGUUGGGAGUGAGGCCAAUGGCUGGCAUUUUGUUGCAUGGACCACCUGGCUGUGGGAAGACUAAACUUGCUCAUGCUAUAGCAAAUGAGACUGGUCUUCCUUUCUAUCAUAUAUCAGAUCCUCUUGAUACAAAGUCAGGUGAUUGGUCAGAAUUAUCAAUAUAUAUUUUUUUCCCUCAAGUUCAAGAGUUAAAGUUUGGGGUGAAUCUUGAGACAGGAUUUUUGCUUUAUGGACCUCCUGGUUGUGGUAAAACACUGAUUGCCAAAGCUGUUGUCAAUGAGGCAGGGGCUAAUUUUAUUCAUAUUAAGGGACCUGAACUUUUAAAUAAAUAUGUUGGAGAAAGUGAGCUUCAAGUUUGUAAAAUGUUUAGCCGUGCAAGGACAUGUGCACCUUGCAUACUUUUUUUUUCUGAGAUUGACACUUUGACAACCAAACGUGGUAAAGAAGGUGGUUGGGUUAUUGAACGACUAUUGAACCAGUUGCUUGUUGGGUUAGAUGGCGCAGAGGAACGAAGAGAUGUUUUUGUGGUUGGUGCUACAAAUAGGCCUCAGGUGAUGGAUCGUGCUGUACUACUACGGCCUGGUAGGUUUGGUAAACUUCUUUAUGUUCCACUUCCAAGCCCAGAUGAACGAGUUUUGAUAUUAAAGGCUCUUGCAAGGAAGGAGGCUGUUGAUGCCUCUGUGGAUUUGAGUGACAUAGCCAAAAUGGAAGCUUGUGAAAACCUAAGUGGCGCUGAUCUUGCUGCAUUGGUUUGUCUCUGCUCUUUAUUGAUGUUGUCUGUUUCAUCCCUUUACCAUUGUUGCAUGUUGUGCAUGUAUGUGUAUGGUUGUUUGAUUCUGGGCGGGUACAAAGUACUACAACUACAAAGGUUGGACUAUAGAAAAAGUGGUAGUCAGUUUGAGAGAGAUACUGAUUUUAUGGACUAUACAGAUGAAUGAAGCAGCAAUGGCUGCUCUUGUUGAGAAUUUGGACUCAAUUGAGACAACUUGUGAUACAUUGACCAUCAAGAGUCCAAUCAAGAGACACCAUUUUGAGGUAGCACUGAGUAUAGUCUCUCCGUCUGUAUCAGACAGGAUAUGGCUUAUUCUGCUAUAUCUCUUUCACAUGAAAUAUGAUGCCUUGUGGUGAAUAAAUUAGUUUUAGAAAUUUACAAUGAAAUUUAUUUCGAAUUUUGGAGCAGCAAAAGCAGUACUAUCAGCACUUGUCAGAGGGCUUUAAAGCAACAUGAGCAGCAUGGCAUUCGCUUUUUUAUUUUAGCAGGUGACAACAUACCAAUGGGGGAAAGAAAUCAUUUAUGUUAGCAUCAAGUAUUCGGAGGUUGUUUGGUUGAGAUCAAAUAAGAAGGAAAGAAAAAGAAAUUUUUAAAUUUUUGUGUGGGUCUCGCACCUUUAUAUUUUUACUUUAAUUUAAAUAUUUCUUCUUUUUUCUCCUUCAUUAUUUUCUCUUCUCUCCAACCAAACAAUCCGCUGAAGUAUUUGCUUUUGUAUGAGAUGUACACGUUUCCUGCAACAGGAUAUAAUUUUUGGCGAUUGUUUAUAAUUUAUGGUUCAGUUUAUCUAUCAUAAGAUUGCUUCUUUUUUUUUAAAACAGUGUUACUAGUCACUAGAAUAUCAAUUAUAGUGAUGGCACAUGUUGGAUGCA